This 72-nucleotide transfer RNA is filed under the name Camelus bactrianus (Bactrian camel). It matches the Rfam family "tRNA". Rfam says of the family: Transfer RNA (tRNA) molecules are approximately 80 nucleotides in length. Their secondary structure includes four short double-helical elements and three loops (D, anti-codon, and T loops). Lineage: Eukaryota; Metazoa; Chordata; Mammalia; Artiodactyla; Camelidae. RNAcentral also lists the same sequence under 3 other names. The record is from Rfam by way of RNAcentral.
GAGGGUAUAGCUCAGUGGUAGAGUGUAUGCUUAGCAUGCAUGAGGUCCUGGGUUCAAUCCCCAGUACCUCCA